GACGUAGGGCGCGAGCGUUGUCCGGAUUUAUUGGGCGUAAAGAGCUCGUAGGCGGCUUGUCGCGUCGAAUGUGAAAACCCGAGGCUCAACUUCGGGCUUGCAUUCGAUACGGGCAGGCUGGAGUUCAGUAGGGGAGACUGGAAUUCCUGGUGUAGCGGUGAAAUGCGCAGAUAUCAGGAGGAACACCGAUGGCGAAGGCAGGUCUCUGGGCCGAUACUGACGCUGAGGAGCGAAAGCGUGGGGAGCGAACAGG
This 253-nucleotide ribosomal RNA is filed under the name uncultured bacterium. RNAcentral describes it as "partial 16S ribosomal RNA". It matches the Rfam family "Bacterial small subunit ribosomal RNA", at positions 524 to 776 of the family's 1533-position model. The record is from RNAcentral.